RNAcentral lists this ribosomal RNA (324 nucleotides) under uncultured eukaryote. RNAcentral describes it as "partial 18S ribosomal RNA". It matches the Rfam family "Eukaryotic small subunit ribosomal RNA", at positions 1470 to 1796 of the family's 1831-position model. The record is from RNAcentral.
CCCUUAGAUGUUCUGGGCUGCACGCGUGCUACACUGAUAUUGCCAAUAUGUCAUUCUUAUCCGAAAUGGAUUGGGUAGUCAAGUAAUGAAAUUUCAUGCUUGGAAUCGGUAAUUGCAAUUUUAUCGUGAACGAGGAAUUCCUAGUAAGCACUAGUCAUCAGCUAAUGUUGAUUACGUCCCUGCCCUUUGUACACACCGCCCGUCGCACCUACCGAUUGGAUGGUCCGGUGAAGCCUCGGGAUUGUGGUUCUUGCCGCUUUAUUGUGGCGUGACCGCGAGAACUUGUCUAAACCUUAUCAUCUAGAGGAAGGUGAAGUCGUAACA